RNAcentral lists this ribosomal RNA (305 nucleotides) under uncultured bacterium. Its description in RNAcentral is "bacterial SSU rRNA". It matches the Rfam family "Bacterial small subunit ribosomal RNA", at positions 335 to 659 of the family's 1533-position model. The record is from RNAcentral.
UGCCUACGGGAGGCAGCAGUGGGGAAUAUUGCACAAUGGGGGAAACCCUGAUGCAGCGACGCCGCGUGAGUGAGGAAGUAUUUCGGUAUGUAAAGCUCUAUCAGCAGGGAAGAAGAUGACGGUACCUGACUAAGAAGCCCCGGCUAACUACGUGCCAGCAGCCGCGGUAAUACGGAGGAUGCGAGCGUUAUCCGGAUUUAUUGGGUUUAAAGGGUGCGUAGGCGGUCCGUUAAGUCAGCGGUAAAAUUGCGGGGCUCAACCCCGUCGAGCCGUUGAAACUGGCAGACUUGAGUUGGCGAGAAGUA